Long non-coding RNA from Pan troglodytes (chimpanzee), 3569 nucleotides. RefSeq lists it as uncharacterized. The transcript is spliced from 2 exons. Lineage: Eukaryota; Metazoa; Chordata; Mammalia; Primates; Hominidae. The record is from RefSeq and is a predicted model, not a curated record.
CAAAGUGCUCCCGAGCUCCUGUGCCCCCAGCAGCAAUCCCAGCCCCGCUGACACCCAAGCUUGUCACCCGCUGGGUUUCUUGAGGUCUGAGGACCGUGGCUGAGGGUGCAUGGGCGCUGGGAUGGAGGGGGGAUGUCCUGUCCCAGUCUGUGCUUGUUAAAGAGGGCAAGGCUGCUUUUAUUCAAGCGGGGGGCUGCUAAAGCGAGAUGUUGGGUUAGGGGAGGCACAUCCGGCUCAACUCCAGAUAGAAGAAGUAGGAAUUGACAGCCCAGGCGUAGGGUCGGGAGUGGAGAGAAAAUUACUAAGAGGAAGGGUCAGGGGCAAGGCGGGUUCUAGCUGCAUAGACAGGAUUUUUGCUGAAAAGGCAGGCAGUGUGGUCACAGACCGAGGGUGGGAGUUGAGGACUUUGAUCAGGGACCAAGAGUAGACGAUUUUCACUAAACCGACUCAGCAGGAUUCUUGCUAAAUCGGCCGAAACCGGCCAAGGUCAGGGACUGGUCACAGGGAGGGCUCAGAGGAGCCUGACUCGAGUGUGGUCAAAGGAGAGAGUCUUUGUCAUCUUUUAAGAGGCGAGAGUGACAUAUUAGUGAGAAACGGUGAAGGGAUCAUGCUCAGGCCAGCAGCCCCGAGUUUGAGAUGAGGACAGGCUGGGUCCAGGAACGGCUGCAGGAAUAGGGGGCACCUGAGCCUGCAGAAAGCGGGGAGCCCAGCCGCCAGAGCAGGCACCCCCAGGCAGACCUCAGUGUGUCCUGCCCUGUGGGAGUGGCAAGGCCAGACCAAGCUGGAUGUGAACCAGUCCCAGAACACCGCCUAGAAUUUGGAUUGUAAUUUGUUAUCGAUGAUAUUGCUGCUUGGUCUCUCUCCUCUUCCUCCCCACCCCCACCCAAGAUGGAGUCUGGCUUUGUCCCCCAGGCUGGAGUGCGAUGGCAUGAUCUCGGCUCACUGCAACCUCCGCCUCCUGGGUUCAAACAAUUCUCCUGCCUCAGCCUCCCAAAUAGCGGGGAUUACUGGUGCGUGCCACCACACCCAGCUAAUUUUUGUAUUUUUGGUAGAGACGGGUUUCAUCAUGUUGGCCAGGCUAGUCUCAAACUCCUGACGUCGUGAUCCACCCACCUCGACCUCCCGAAAUGCUUUGGGAUUACAGGUGUGAGCCGCCGCGCCCGGCCUCUAUAGCAUGGCCAUCGUGGCUACAUCAGCCCCGGCUAAUAGAGAUUUUAGCACACUCAGAUUCUAUUGGCUAAUAAGAUUUAAUUAUAAUUCUGGGGUAUUUAACAAUGUCGUUAUACAGUCUUCACUGUUGCAAAUGGAGAAUGAAAUCGGGUGCAUGUGACACUAAUGUGACCUGUUCAUGCUCUGUCACUUAAACGGAGUUAAGUAACAUAGCCUUGGGCAGGAAGACUCCUUCCCCACUUCUUUCCAGGAGCUCCUUACUCGAUUCUGGGGAACAGAAAGGCUUUCAGCAGCCAAGGGGAGUGACAACAGCCAGACAUGAGACACCUCCUAGAGCCCUUUGGUGUUACCCUUUCCGGUCCAUCAGCCACAGUGUCCACCCCAGGUAGCUGGGUCCUGAGUUCACCGUCUCAGGACAUUUUUCGACCUGGUUUGUCUGAAUUAUUAUUAUUAUUGAUCAUUGAGACAGGGUCUCAGUCCAUCGCCAAGACUGGAGUGCAGUGGUGUGAUCCUGGCUCACUCAGCCUCCCAGGCUCAGGUGAUCCUCCCAGCUCAGCCUCCUGCGUAGCUGGGACCACAGGCAGGCACCACCAUGCCUGGCUAAAUUUUUUGUAUUUUUUGUAGAGACCAGCUCUCGCUAUGUUGUCCAGGUUGGUCUCAAACUGCUGCCUCAGCCUCCCAAGGUGCUGGGAUUACAGGCAUGAGGGACCAAGCUCAGCAAUCUGAAUUAUUUAUGCAGAAUUUUUUUUUCUCUAGCUGGAAGAGCUGUUUAUAUGCACGUUUCUUUGGGGGCAACUCUUCUCCAUUGUCACAGAUUUUUUUUUUCCAAGCCAUUCCUGGGGGAUUCCUGGGAGCCAUGUGGGAGAGGCGUGAGGAAGUGAGACCUUCACCCCGAGACAGGUCCUGACGCACCCUCUGGUGCCUCUACUCAAGUGAGAAGUUUGGCUGCUGUAACUGACUGGGAAGCUUAAAAUAACAGACAAUCAUCUCUCACAUUUAUGGGGACUGGGAAGUCCAAGACCAAGUUGCCAUCUGGGGAGGGCCUGUUCCUCACAGCGCCUUCCAGCUCAGGCCUCGUUUAUAAGGGCACUCAUCCCUUCCACGACAACGGGUCCUCAUGACUUACUCACCUCGGAAAGCCCCCACCCCCAAGACCAUCACAUUGUGGGUGAGGAUUUCAACAUGAGAAUUUGGGGGCUGCAAACAAUUACACCAUGGCAGAGCAUAAGGUGCCUUCCCCACGUGCUCGGGUUGACCCAACGUCUCACGCUAGCAGCUACGUGGAAUAGUUAUUUUUUCUGGAGAACUCGGGGACCCCUCUGAUGUCUUGGAGCACCCACACAGGCCGUUCACUGUGCACGCGGUGAGGCUGUCCUCUGGGGAGUUCUGCUGUUGUAUGGGUUCUGUCUGUGUCAAUGUCCCAGCGGGAACGCAGGGCACACUAGCGUCAUCCCCAGAGAGCUUGGUAAGGGGACUGUUUGCAGAGACAUAGGCAGAGCGCUGGAAAACUACCAAAAAAGUGCAGUGUUCUGGACCUAAUAAUAGCACAGCUAUUCUCACCCUGGUCUGAAGGCAGGAGGGGAGGAGCAGUUAAUGGAUUCUGGAAGUCGGGUUGCACAGAGUCACCUUGAAAGAUGCCAUGACCUUCACCGAGGGCCAGACAGAGACUAAGAUGACCCCAUAGGAGAAUAAGACCUAGACCUCAUCCUCCUGCCUCCUGCCUCCUGCCAGUCCCUGCCAGGGGUCGCCAAUGGCAAAACAGGACUGGAAGCCAGAGGCCUUGGAAGCCCAUGGAUGAAGUCCACAGGCCAGCCUCCCCGAGAGCAGCCUGGACGGUCCGCAGGAGACAUCUCCUGUCUUAGGCGUCCCACGCCGCGUGCUCCUGUUCAGCCCUGCCGAGGUGGAAGCUUGGAGUGGGUCACGGUGGAUGCAUUGACGCUGCAGACGUCAGCAAGUGCUACAAACCAGAGCUGGCCUUUAACUCAGACUGAUGGAGAAGGUGUUAAUAAUGCAGAUUAGACUUAAAAGUGUUGAAGCCAUUGCACUGUGAACAGCAAAAAAAUUGAAGAACUCUUCUGGCAUUUAAAAACAAUUACUCAGUUCAGCAGAGAAGUCACUGACAAACGAGAUCACACUGACUGCUUUGUCGUUUUGGUUUUGUCUUACUCAUUAAUGCAAAUAAGAACAUUCACUAGCAUCUGUGUUGGGCCUACCCUCCCUGGUCAAACACAGCUACAGUCUCCCUGCAGAUACGAGUUUUCCAGAAAUGAGCCGAUGUUUUCUGCGAGAAUCAGUUGGUCAUAUACAAUUUACAAAAAUGAGUACCGUAUACUAUAUUUGUGAACUGUACGCUGCAGAUGCCUUAUUUCACUGAAAUUUAUAAUACACUUAUCCAUGUA